GUGGCUGGAGUCCUGUAUGCCUCAUACAUCUGAGUAUCUUUACCUUUUGCUAAAUUAGGGAAAUUCUCCUGGAUUAUUUCUGUGAAUAGCUUUUGUAGUUCAUUUGUUUGAGUCCCUACUUCUUUUAUGUUCUUAAUUCUUAAGUUAUAGAUCCUCUUGUCAUCUUCUAGUCUUUGUAUUAUUGCUGUUUGUUUUCUUGUUAUUUUUAAGAAUUUUUUCAUUUCAUGCUCCCACCUUACAAAUCUGUCCUCCAGUUCUGAUAAUCUAUCCUUAGUUUCUCUCAAGCUGUUAUGCCAGCUUUCAAUAGAGUUUUUAGUUUCCUGGUAAUCUCUGUGAACCUGCUUCACGUAUUCUAUGUUUUCUCUAUUUUCUCCAUCAAACAAUUUUCCCCUUUUUUUCUGUUCUUCCAUUCCACCAUCUGUUUUUUCUUGGGUGGUGCUUAGCAUUUCUCUAACUAUUCUACUUAUUUCUUGCUUUAUUUCAUUAAAUACUUCAUUUUUGAAUUCGUCUUUGAGGCUUCGGAGAUACCGUUUUAUAUCUAUAGGUGCCGUGUCUGAUAUUGCAUGUUUUCUGUCUUCAUUCUCUUUUGCUUUUACCUUUCCUGGAUCAGUGUUCUCAGGAUUGGGGACUGAGGACCCUUUCUUGUUACUCCCUUUUCCCAUACUUUUUGUUCCUUCCAUACAAGUGUAUGUAGGAGGCUCAGUUUUUUUUUUUUUUUUCUCUCUUUGUCUGUUGCACUUUGUUUGAAUCUGCCGGCUAGGUAUCCCUGCCCACUGCAGUGUACUAGGAAGACACAGACCUGGGCAGCCUCUGCUGGGCCCGCCGCUCCAGGUUAAACUACUGAAUGUUUCACUGCUAGGGCACACCACCAGGCACAGGGACCUGAUUUGGGCUAGCCUACAGGAUCUUAGUCCGCGGUGUCAUCAGGCCAAGUACUCCCCACCACUCCCGCUUGAGCGGGGAAUAUGCAGCUAAAGUCACUGCAGGGCUGUGUUCCGGCUAGUCUGCCCGUUCCCAGAAUGUCCUCUGUUGGAGCCUCCUAGUCUAUGAAAGGGUCCCCAUUUCUCUCACUCACCACAGGUCGAUGCAGGGCUCCCUGCCAGUCCCGCUCUCAACGCUGUUUGGUUCGCCGAUUCCAGCUCUCAGAGCUUAGCGUGCCUCUCUCCCUGCCGUGCGGAUUGGGCCGCAGUAUCAGCAGCAGGAAAUUCAAAUCGUGGCUUCCAAUGGCACAGGGUCCAGCUUCCACACUGAGAUUUUAUCUGUUCCUGUUAUAGCAUCAGGAUUGCAUUUCCAGUUGGUUUCUCUCAGCUUACUUUGUUCCUGGGUCAGCAAGGUACAUCUCCCCUCAUGUAGGACUCCUGACACGGCACCGCUCCUGGAUUCUAAGCUGUAAUCUCAGAGAGCCUCCGUGGCUGCUGUUAUUUGUCUGCGAUGUUCUCCCGGAAGUCCAGCAGCUGUUUUCUUAACCAUCAAUUGCAGUCCUGUCCAAUAAUCUCUCUCCACCCUGAGAGAUUUUGUUUAACCAAUUUUAAUAUCAUUUUGACCAGCUGGCAACCCAAGUAGAAGCAUGCUUUUUAAAUCUGUAACCCAAAUGAACCUUGAUUAAAUGAUCUGAAAAUGCAAAAGAAAAAAGAAAAGAAAAAAGAUUGCUGAGCUCAAAUAAAAAGAACAGCUUUUUGUGGAUAUGAAAACUGUCUUAGUUACUUUUUACUUGCUGAGACAAAAUACCUGAAGCCCAAGUUGGGAAAGGAAAGGUUUAUUUCUUACAGUUUUUGGAGGUUUUAGUCCACACUCAGUUGGCUUCAGGUGGUGUGGCAUGGCAGAUCCACAGUUCAUGGCAGCUGCAAACAGCAAGGCAGAAGCCAGCAAAAGAGCAAGACACACUUUCUUCCUGCUAUUACAUUAUAUCCUGGCUCCACCCCUGAAAGGCUUUUGGCCCAGGCCGGACACUGUAACCAGAACCAGGAAGCCCCUAUCUCUCCCGCCCCUAUGAAUUUACCUGUGAUGCCUUCUUCCCCGCCCCUGGGAAUUUGCCUAUGGCACCAAACCUAGGACCAAUGGGCUAUCCGUGCAUCCCUGGUGCCCCCUUAGGUUCCACCCCAAACUGAGGCUACUUACAUAUCCCCAUGCCACGUGUCCGCUGGAGAGAUCACCGGACUCCAGUGGUGGGGGGUGCCAGUCAUCUCUGUCCGUGUUCUCAGAAUAAAGGUCUCUUUUUGUUUUAUACUUCUCAUCUUUUGGAAAUACUUUUCAUCUUUUGGAAAUAAUCCUAUCAUUUGGUGCCAUGACUCGAUCGGCAGGCAUUGACUCCUGGGACACACCAGUUGAGUCCCCCAGCUGAUUCACAAACUGGAUAGCAUCCUGGAUUAAUUCCUCUCUUUUUCUUCUCCCAAGACGUUUGACUUGUCGCCAGCCGCCUGCACUCCCCAUCGGCCAGAUUGAUUUCAGGACUACAUCCAAGGUGGAGUGGCCCCCAUCUGGUCUACUUGGCUACCCCUACAGCAGUCAAAGUUGCUGGACUCCCAUCCUGGUUUCACAUCACUCAGGCUAAGAGGUGCCCUCCCCGCCCUAAAUCUGAUCAUUCUGAGUGGUCAUCUCAUCUUCUGUCGCCCACCUGUCUCCUUCUCACAAAGGCCUCAGGGCCACAGUUAAUAGGCUAAGUCAUGUUUUGUUAUCUACUUUGGUUCCUAAUUCCUUACAUUCUGUUAAUGAUCAUUUUUACAGCAGGACUCUUUAAUAGUAUUGCCUACAGACUCCAACGUCAUGCAUACCAGAGACAAGCCUUACCAACCUACCUCUUAACCUUUAUGCUUUCAGAUGGGGGAGUAAUCGCCUCUCAUAACUUCACUUCUCCUAACCCCACAUUUAGUUUUCAGAAUUCUGCCUUACCGUGGAAAUGUUCCUACCUCAAUGUCGUCCUGAUAUAAUGACAUGUCUAAAUCAAAGGCACCUUUCCUUCUACCUCACCUGGAUCCUUAAAUAUGACAGUGCCAUGUCUCCUCAUAACAUCUUCUCUUUGUUUUUCUAGUCUAACAUACGUGCAUUCACCAGUGAAGUGUCCUUGGCUAAAACACCUGGUACCAGCUUCUACCUGGGCAUCAACUGUCAUCCCGUCGACUCCCCUAGGCUCCAAUACAGCGCCCUCUGCCAGCAGGAAGUAGUUAAAGAGAGAAAUCUUCGUCCCUUUUCAUAAUAAUAAUCAUAAGAUGGGAUAUGAAAGCCUUUUGGCACAGGCCGGACACUGUAACCAGAACCAGGAAGCCCCUAUCUCCCCUGCCCCUAGGAAUUUACCUGUGAUGCCUUCUUCCCCACCCCUGGGAAUUUGCCAAACCUAGGACCAAUGGGCUACCCGUGCAUCCCUGGUGCCCCCUUAGGUUCCACCCCAAACUGAGGCUACUUACAUACCCCCCACGCCACGUGUCCGCUAGAGAGAUCGCUGGACUCCAGCGGUGGGGGGUGCCGGUCACCUCUGUCCGUGUUCUCAGAAUAAAGGCCUCUUUUUGUUUUAUA
Cavia porcellus (domestic guinea pig) is the source of this 3510-nucleotide long non-coding RNA. RefSeq lists it as uncharacterized. The transcript has 2 exons. The record is from RefSeq and is a predicted model, not a curated record. NCBI's taxonomy places the organism in Eukaryota, Metazoa, Chordata, Mammalia, Rodentia, Caviidae.